UUCUUGCCAAUGGUCAUAAAAAUUUGACCCAGUCUCAGCCUCCUUCUCGUCCUCAGGGUCUUCCCGUGCAUCCCCUCCCACAGCUGGAGCACAUCUCACUGAGCAGUUGGCAAGUCUGGCCCCGGGCUCUGCGGAUGCUGCGCAUGCCUUGCUAGCUGUGCCCAGAAUGCAGAGCUGCAGAGAACUCCCACGACCUUAUCAAAAAUUGCUGAAUUGCUGCGCUAAUGGACAAAACAAUCAUUUGAAAAGGAGAACUUGCCCCAUGGGAAAAAGCAGAGCGGGUAAGAGGCCCGUGCUCUGCAUCGUGAAGCGCUCUUAGACUCCCUGGUAAUUUGCCCACUUCAGAGAACUGGCAGCUUGGGUCUAGACAAGAGAGGACAGAAUAAGAAUGAACAGGCUCUUUCCCCUUUCCUCAAAUUCCUCUGCUCACACAGCUAACGAAGUGCGCAGGAACAGGUGGCCUUCGGAGGGAAUCUUUGGGAUUUAACUUGAAUUCCUUCCUCUAGAAAACUCCUAUGAUCUCCUCAGUCUCUUCAACAUCAGGUUCACUGUAUCUUCCAGGGGAAUAUGACUUAGAUGCUCACAUCCCAGAGAAGAGCCCAGAUGUCAGUUCAUCUGUCCUAGACCCUGGGGAGAGAGAGCUCGGAGAACUGGGCCCUCGAAGAGGCCAGUGGACCAAGAGAAACACCUUCAUUGAGCCUACAGCCCAUGAAGGACCACCCCCAGCUAAGCCCUCAUCCACCCCGAAGUUACGGAGUGCCAAAGGGAUGUGCACACCGAAGGUUCCAGGCAGGUAUUACAACCCACACAGAAGAUGAUGCCAUGCUUGUCUCAGCCCCAGCAGUCACUGAUCUACCCGUGGUGCCCAUGACGGCAGUUACAGCUUCUGUUCAGCUGCUCCCCUGCCCUGAUCACCAGCUGUUCUUAGCCAAUGAUCUUGAUUUAAAUCCCACUCACCAUCACUCUUCCAGCCGCCAAGUCCAUCAGGCUUGACUUGACCAACACCUGUGACCCCCCCACCUCUCCCUUUGCUGGUUGUCCCUGCGAGAUGCUGAUCUCUACCUGUUUGACUAGGCUUCCUGCCAAAGCCUAUGUAGGCUUCCCGCUUCUGAGAUAGGACUGUUUGAUUUCCUGGUGCAGCCAAGUGGAAUGGAGAACUUGACAGCUGCCCUUAGGGCCCUAUGACGAUCACAGUUCUCCAAGCCCAGGACUUCCCGCCAGCCAUCGGGGAUGCCAGCCUUGGCUGAGGAAUCUAUGUUGUUAGUUCAGGACUAUAUCCACCAAUAAUCAUCCAGCAAAUGAUUUAAACAAAUGAUCUGAUGAUGCCUCGAAGAUGUUAGCCAGCCUAGCAAGGCUUAACUGAGUGUAAAGCUGCAGCAGAUAGACUGCUUCCAGCUGGGUAAGCAAGAACCUUGGAAUCAACCUGGAAAAAGAGUACACUGACGUAUCAAAAGCAUUUUAUGCCCCUCAGAUCUAGUCUCUGCUGGGCAACAGUGGAGAUUCUGCACCACGCCCUUGAGGAUCAGCUUUGAAAGACGACAACAGGUCAUCAACUGGACAAACCAAUUACGUCAGAUUAACUGGUUCUCAUCAAAACUUGGGCCAAGACACUGCCCAGAAUCACCCCAAAUCAAGAAGGGAAGUGAAAAUCAGAAGUGCAAACUCCAUCUCAAUAGCUGAUGACUGAACUGUCAUGCUGUAGAGGGUGGAAAGAGCAUUGAAGGCAGUGGAGAGAU
Delphinapterus leucas (beluga whale) is the source of this 1736-nucleotide non-coding RNA. The record is from RefSeq and is a predicted model, not a curated record. Lineage: Eukaryota; Metazoa; Chordata; Mammalia; Artiodactyla; Monodontidae.